GAAAAGUUGUUGGGCUGGGUUUCUUCCCUUUAUGCAUCUUCACAGUUGUAGCCAUUUCUGGGAUUUCUCCUGAUGCUGUUACACGUCUUGUCGGCUGGAGAGUCCCUGCCUUUGUUUUAAGAUCACUUUCCACUUUGCAUUUGCAAACUUCCUGGCAAGAACAUGUUGGAACACUCAGAGAACAUGACAAGACCUUGGAUUUACCCAUUUCAAUACCUAAGCUGCCAGUUGAGUUCCUUCUCAAAUAGCCAAUUCCAGACUCAAUUUUAUCCAGGUUUGCUGGCAUGCCAACAUCCGUUUUCUUGCUCGACUCAUAAGAUGCAAUGUCCUUAUCCAUCCUGCUUCUCGUGUUUGUUUUGGUGAUUGCAUCAUCCAAUAUAGACCCCUGAAGUGUUGGCAAACCCCCUGUUAUAAGACUGUCACUGUAUCUUCUUCUGCUUGGUUUGUUGCUUCUCGACACAUAAUAAGCAUUUUCUUCAAGAGGCUUCAACUUCGAAUCAUUUUGAUGACAUGCAGAAACAGCUAAUUUUUUGGUGCGUGCUUGCAUAUGCUCUCCAUGAGUAGUUUUCAGCCUUCUGAAAUUUGCAGGUAGUUUAUUUGCGCGUAGUGGUUUCUUCCGUAUCUGCCACUUCACAGUUGUAGCCAGUUUUGAAUUUUCUCCUGAUGAUAUCACAGAUCUUGUGGACACGUGAGUCCUUUCCUUUGUUUUACAGUUACUUUCUGCACCAUCUUUGCUAGCAUUAAGCAAAGAACCUGUCGGAACACUCACAUGACGUGGCAAGACCUUGGAGUCAUCCAUUUCAAUACCUAAGUUUCCAGUUGAGUUCCUUCUCAAAUAACUGAGUUCAUGCUCAAUUUUCUCCAAG
Molecule: long non-coding RNA, 866 nt
Filed under: Capsicum annuum
Lineage: Eukaryota; Viridiplantae; Streptophyta; Magnoliopsida; Solanales; Solanaceae
Description: long non-coding RNA (CANN_LNC004037)
Source: RNAcentral